Molecule: ribosomal RNA, 254 nt
Filed under: uncultured bacterium
Lineage: Bacteria
Description: partial 16S ribosomal RNA
Rfam family: Bacterial small subunit ribosomal RNA
Source: RNAcentral
UACGAAGGGGGCGAGCGUUGUUCGGAAUCACUGGGCGUAAAGGGCGCGUAGGCGGCCCUCGUUUGUCGCGUGUGAAAGCCCCGGGCUCAACCUGGGAGGUGCGCGCGAGACGGCGGGGCUGGAGUUCGGGAGAGGAGAGUGGAAUUCCCAGUGUAGAGGUGAAAUUCGUAGAUAUUGGGAAGAACACCGGUGGCGAAGGCGGCUCUCUGGACCGAGACUGACGCUGAGGCGCGAAAGCGUGGGGAGCAAACAGG